This 22-nucleotide non-coding RNA is filed under the name Arabidopsis thaliana (thale cress). Lineage: Eukaryota; Viridiplantae; Streptophyta; Magnoliopsida; Brassicales; Brassicaceae. The record is from RNAcentral.
UAGAGACUACUGAGGCUGCUCC